Molecule: non-coding RNA, 72 nt
Organism: Bos taurus (domestic cattle)
Lineage: Eukaryota; Metazoa; Chordata; Mammalia; Artiodactyla; Bovidae
Source: Rfam
UCCCUGGUGGCUCAGGCGCUAAAGCUUCUGCCUGCAAUACGGGAGACCCAGGUUCGAUUCCUGGGUUGGGAA